Molecule: ribosomal RNA, 547 nt
Filed under: fungal sp. E15219C
Lineage: Eukaryota; Fungi
Description: eukaryotic LSU rRNA
Rfam family: 5.8S ribosomal RNA (bases 183-336)
Source: RNAcentral
UGCGGAGGGAUCAUUACACAAAUAUGAAGGCGGGCUGGAACCUCUCGGGGGUUACAGCCUUGCUGAAUUAUUCACCCUUGUCUUUUGCGUACUUCUUGUUUCCUUGGUGGGUUCGCCCACCACUAGGACAAACAUAAACCUUUUGUAAUUGCAAUCAGCGUCAGUAACAAAUUAAUAAUUACAACUUUCAACAACGGAUCUCUUGGUUCUGGCAUCGAUGAAGAACGCAGCGAAAUGCGAUAAGUAGUGUGAAUUGCAGAAUUCAGUGAAUCAUCGAAUCUUUGAACGCACAUUGCGCCCUUUGGUAUUCCAAAGGGCAUGCCUGUUCGAGCGUCAUUUGUACCCUCAAGCUUUGCUUGGUGUUGGGCGUCUUGUCUCUAGCUUUGCUGGAGACUCGCCUUAAAGUAAUUGGCAGCCGGCCUACUGGUUUCGGAGCGCAGCACAAGUCGCACUCUCUAUCAGCAAAGGUCUAGCAUCCAUUAAGCCUUUUUUCAACUUUUGACCUCGGAUCAGGUAGGGAUACCCGCUGAACUUAAGCAUAUCAAUA